GGCGUCGAAGCAGUGUAUGUCAGACUUCCGAGAAAAGCUCGCAAUGUCAUAAAUAAAUAAUGCCUGUACCAUAACCGACACAGGUGGGUAGGUAGAGUAUACUAAGGGGCGCGAGAUAACUCUCUCUAAGGAACUCGGCAAAAUGACUCCGUAACUUCGGGAGAAGGAGUGCCUUAUUCGUAAGGCUGCAAUAACAAGAUCCAAGCAACUGUUUAUCAAAAACACAGGUCUCCGCUAAGUCGUAAGACGAUGUAUGGGGGCUGACGCCUGCCCAGUGCCAGAAGGUUAAAGAAGUCGGUUAGCAUUAGCGAAGCUGGUAACUGAAGCCCUGGUGAACGGCGGCCGUAACUAUAACGGUCCUAAGGUAGCGAAAUUCCUUGUCGGGUAAGUUCCGACCCGCACGAAAGGCGUAAUGAUUUGGAUACUGUCUCGGAGAGGGGCUCGGUGAAAUAGACUUGUCUGUGAAGAUGCGGACUACCUGCACCAGGACAGAAAGACCCUAUGAAGCUUUACUGUAACUUGGAAUUGAAAUUGGACUUUAUUCGCGCAGUAUAGGUGGGAGGUGUUGAUUAUAAUCUUGCGGGAUUAUUGGAGCCAUCAGUGAGAUACCACUCUUGUAAUGUUAGAUUUCUAACUUUGAAUCAUUAUCUGGUCAAAGAACAGUUUCAGGCGGGCAGUUUGACUGGGGCGGUCGCCUCCUAAAUGGUAACGGAGGCGUACAAAGGUUUCCUCUGAACGGGUAGAAAUCGUAUCUAGAGUGUAAAGGCAUAAGGAAGCUUGACUGUGAGACCUACAAGUCGAGCAGGGACGAAAGUCGGUCUUAGUGAUCUGACGGUACUGAGUGGAAAGGCCGUCACUCAACGGAUAAAAGUUAUUCUAGGAUAACAGGCUGAUCUCCCCCAAGAGUUCACAUCGACGGGGAGGUUUGGCACCUCGAUGUCGGCUCAUCGCAUCCUGGGGCGGUAGUACGUCCCAAGGGUUGGGCUGUUCGCCCAUGAAAGCGGUACGCGAGCUGGGUUCAGAACGUCGUGAGACAGUUCGGUCCAUAUCCGGUGUAGGCGUUAGAAUAUUGAGAGGAGCCUUCUUUAGUACGAGAGGACCGAGAAGGACAUACCUCUGGUGUACCGGUUAUCGUGCCAACGGUAAACGCUGGGUAGCUAUGUAUGGAGUGGAUAACCGCUGAAAGCAUCUAAGUGGGAAGCCCACCUCAAGAUAAGUAUUCUCAUC
RNAcentral lists this ribosomal RNA (1227 nucleotides) under metagenome. RNAcentral describes it as "bacterial LSU rRNA". It matches the Rfam family "Bacterial large subunit ribosomal RNA", at positions 1581 to 2818 of the family's 2925-position model. The record is from RNAcentral.